UACGUAGGGGGCUAGCGUUAUCCGGAAUUACUGGGCGUAAAGGGUGCGUAGGCGGUCUUUCAAGCCAGAAGUGAAAGGCUACGGCUCAACCGUAGUAAGCUUUUGGAACUGUAAGACUUGAGUGCAGGAGAGGAGAGUGGAAUUCCUAGUGUAGCGGUGAAAUGCGUAGAUAUUAGGAGCAACACCAGUAGCGAAGGCGGCUCUCUGGACUGUAACUGACGCUGAGGCACGAAAGCGUGGGGAGCAAACAGGAUUAGAUACCCUGGUAGUCCACGCCGUAAACGAUGAGUACUAGGUGUCGGGGGUUACCCCCCUCGGUGCCGCAGCUAACGCAUUAAGUACUCCGCCUGGGAAGUACGCUUGCAAGAGUGAA
This 373-nucleotide ribosomal RNA is filed under the name uncultured bacterium. RNAcentral's name for it is "bacterial SSU rRNA". It matches the Rfam family "Bacterial small subunit ribosomal RNA", at positions 524 to 898 of the family's 1533-position model. The record is from RNAcentral.